Molecule: ribosomal RNA, 519 nt
Filed under: uncultured eukaryote
Lineage: Eukaryota
Description: SSU rRNA
Rfam family: Eukaryotic small subunit ribosomal RNA
Source: RNAcentral
AGGGCACCACCAGGAGUGGAGCCUGCGGCUUAAUUUGACUCAACACGGGGAAACUUACCCGGCCUGGACACUGGAAGGAUUGACAGAUUGAGAGCUCUUUCUUGAUUCAGUGGGUGGUGGUGCAUGGCCGUUCUUAGUUGGUGGAGCGAUUUGUCUGGUUAAUUCCAAUAACGAACGAGACUCUAGCCUAUUAAAUAGGCUCUCGGCUUUUAAACGCCGGGAGGACUUCUUAGAGGGACAGGUGGCGGUUCAGCCGCACGAAAGAGAGCAAUAACAGGUCUGUGAUGCCCUUUGUUGUCCGGGGCCGCACGCGCGCUACACUGAAGAGAUCAGCGUGCUUUACGUUCCUGCUCCGACCGGAGUGGGGAACCCAGUGAACCUUCUUCGUGAUUGGGAUAGAAGAUUGUAAUUAUUCUUCUUGAACGAGGAAUUCCCAGUAAAUGCGAGUCAUAAGCUCGCGUUGAUUACGUCCCUGCCCUUUGUACACACCGCCCGUCGCUACUACCGAUUGAACGAUUU